This 371-nucleotide ribosomal RNA is filed under the name uncultured bacterium. RNAcentral describes it as "bacterial SSU rRNA". It matches the Rfam family "Bacterial small subunit ribosomal RNA", at positions 527 to 896 of the family's 1533-position model. The record is from RNAcentral.
GGGGGGGGCAAGCGUUGUUCGGAAUUACUGGGCGUAAAGGGCUCGUAGGCGGCCCCUUAAGUCAGACGUGAAAGCCCUCGGCUCAACCGGGGAAUGGCGUCUGAGACUGAAGGGCUUGAAGCCGGGAGAGGGAUGCGGAAUUCCAGGUGUAGCGGUGAAAUGCGUAGAUAUCUGGAGGAACACCGGUGGCGAAGGCGGCAUCCUGGACCGGUAUUGACGCUGAGGAGCGAAAGCCAGGGGAGCAAACGGGAUUAGAUACCCCGGUAGUCCUGGCCCUAAACGAUGAAUGCUUGGUGUGGCGGGUAUCGAUCCCUGCCGUGCCGAAGCUAACGCAUUAAGCAUUCCGCCUGGGGAGUACGGUCGCAAGGCUG